UACGGAGGGUGCGAGCGUUGUCCGGAAUCACUGGGCGUAAAGGGCGCGUAGGCGGCUCAAGCAGCGUGUGGUGAAAGCUCGGGGCUCAACCCCGAGUCGGCCGUGCGAACUCUUGGGCUGGAGUGCUGUAGAGGCGGGCGGAAUUCCGGGUGUAGCGGUGGAAUGCGUAGAGAUCCGGAAGAACACCGGUGGCGAAGGCGGCCUGCUGGGCAGUGGCUGACGCUGAGGCGCGACAGCGUGGGGAGCAAACAGG
Molecule: ribosomal RNA, 253 nt
Filed under: uncultured bacterium
Lineage: Bacteria
Description: partial 16S ribosomal RNA
Rfam family: Bacterial small subunit ribosomal RNA
Source: RNAcentral